This 407-nucleotide ribosomal RNA is filed under the name Fejervarya orissaensis (Orissa frog). RNAcentral describes it as "partial small subunit ribosomal RNA". It matches the Rfam family "Bacterial small subunit ribosomal RNA", at positions 875 to 1420 of the family's 1533-position model. The record is from RNAcentral. Lineage: Eukaryota; Metazoa; Chordata; Amphibia; Anura; Dicroglossidae.
AAAUAUUUACUCACACCCACAAACGCCAGGGAACUACGAGCCUUAGCUUAAAACCCAAAGGACUUGACGGUGUCCCACCCAACUAGAGGAGCCUGUACUAUAAUCGAUGGUCCCCGAUAAACCCUACCUUUUCUUGCUCAUCAGCCUGUAUACCUCCGUCGUAAAUCUACCAUAUGAAUGAUACACAGCUCGGUUCAAUGAUUUCCCCCAUCAGAACGUCAGGUCAAGGUGCAGCCCAUGAAAAGGCAAGUGAUGGGCUACAAUUUCUAAUCUAGAACAAACGAAAUACUGUAUGAAACACAGGCACAGAAGGAGGAUUUAGAAGUAAAGAGAAAAUAACGAGUUCUCUUAAACAUGGCCCUGGGACACGUACACACCGCCCGUCGCCCUCUUCGAUACUCACUUUU